RNAcentral lists this transfer RNA (72 nucleotides) under Methanobacteriota archaeon. Its description in RNAcentral is "Euryarchaeota archaeon tRNA-Arg". It matches the Rfam family "tRNA". From Rfam's summary of the family: Transfer RNA (tRNA) molecules are approximately 80 nucleotides in length. Their secondary structure includes four short double-helical elements and three loops (D, anti-codon, and T loops). RNAcentral also lists the same sequence under 1 other name. The record is from RNAcentral. Lineage: Archaea; Methanobacteriati; Methanobacteriota.
GGAGGUAUGGUGUAGCGGAUAGCAUCAAGGAUUUCGAAUCCUUGGACCUCGGUUCGAAUCCGAGUACCUUCG